ACGGGUGAGUAACGCGUGGGAACGUACCCUUUUCUACGGAAUAACGCUUGGAAACGUGUGCUAAUGCCGUAUGAGCCCUUCGGGGGAAAGAUUUAUCGGGAAAGGAUCGGCCCGCGUUGGAUUAGCUAGUUGGUGGGGUAAAGGCCUACCAAGGCGACGAUCCAUAGCUGGUCUGAGAGGAUGAUCAGCCACAUUGGGACUGAGACACGGCCCAAACUCCUACGGGAGGCAGCAGUGGGGAAUAUUGGACAAUGGGCGCAAGCCUGAUCCAGCCAUGCCGCGUGAGUGAUGAAGGCCCUAGGGUUGUAAAGCUCUUUCACCGGAGAAGAUAAUGACGGUAUCCGGAGAAGAAGCCCCGGCUAACUUCGUGCCAGCAGCCGCGGUAAUACGAAGGGGGCUAGCGUUGUUCGGAAUUACUGGGCGUAAAGCGCACGUAGGCGGAUAUUUAAGUCAGGGGUGAAAUCCCAGAGCUCAACUCUGGAACUGCCUUUGAUACUGGGUAUCUGGAGUAUGGAAGAGGUGAGUGGAAUUCCGAGUGUAGAGGUGAAAUUCGUAGA
RNAcentral lists this ribosomal RNA (557 nucleotides) under uncultured bacterium. RNAcentral describes it as "bacterial SSU rRNA". It matches the Rfam family "Bacterial small subunit ribosomal RNA", at positions 102 to 694 of the family's 1533-position model. The record is from RNAcentral.